Mesocricetus auratus (golden hamster) is the source of this 509-nucleotide long non-coding RNA. RefSeq lists it as uncharacterized. The record is from RefSeq and is a predicted model, not a curated record. NCBI's taxonomy places the organism in Eukaryota, Metazoa, Chordata, Mammalia, Rodentia, Cricetidae. The transcript has 2 exons.
CUCAGAACCCACCAGAAUCCUAUGUAUGAGUGUUAUAAACCAAAUGCUGUGUGAGCCCCUCUCAGAGACCAUUCAACUCAAUGGCCAACCUGAUCCCUGGUAUUUUGUGAUGAAGGCCCUGGAAAACGGGCUGGAUGAGGAGGUGAAAUUCUCAGUCAUCAAUGAGAAGCACCCGAAAGAUCCUUCAGUUUCCUAAGCCAUGAACGAAUUGAGGCUUUCAGAAAGGGAGUCUUCACAGAAACCGGAAAACAAAGAUCGACAUUUAACUAUAAAUACUCCAAGAGCCACUCUGUGAAUAACAUUCACUCGCCCGGAAAAAUAGCUCCAAAUGAAGCAAACACUCAAUGGAAUUACAUUAUGCAGAAGCCUGGCAGAGGUGCAGCGUGUUUGCAAGUUAAUAAGUUAUAAACAGUUCUAUAUUCUUUUCUGGGCCCUUUUCCAGGAGGAAUUAUUUAAUUUGGGAUUCAUUUUUGCAUUCAAAUAGAUGUUUAAUAAAGUAUCUUUUGAAA